RNAcentral lists this unclassified non-coding RNA (205 nucleotides) under soil metagenome. RNAcentral describes it as "partial contains 5.8S ribosomal RNA, internal transcribed spacer 2, and large subunit ribosomal RNA". The record is from RNAcentral.
AACAUCGCGCACCUGCGGGAACCUGCGGAGGGAUCAUUAUUGUAGGGACCUCGGUCCUUCCAAGAUGCAACCCUUGCCUUUUUCUAGCGUCUCUCCGUUUCCUCGGCAGCUCCGCCUGCCAGCGAGGACCCCCGAAAACCUUUUGCAAUCCCCGUACAAACUUCUGAACAUACACAAAAACGUUAAAACUUUUAACAACGGAUCU